AUUGAACGCUGGCGGCAGGCCUAACACAUGCAAGUCGAGCGGAUGAAGGGAGCUUGCUCCUGGAUUCAGCGGCGGACGGGUGAGUAAUGCCUAGGAAUCUGCCUGGUAGUGGGGGAUAACGUCCGGAAACGGGCGCUAAUACCGCAUACGUCCUGAGGGAGAAAGUGGGGGAUCUUCGGACCUCACGCUAUCAGAUGAGCCUAGGUCGGAUUAGCUAGUUGGUGGGGUAAAGGCCUACCAAGGCGACGAUCCGUAACUGGUCUGAGAGGAUGAUCAGUCACACUGGAACUGAGACACGGUCCAGACUCCUACGGGAGGCAGCAGUGGGGAAUAUUGGACAAUGGGCGAAGGCCUGAUCCAGCCAUGCCGCGUGUGUGAAGAAGGUCUUCGGAUUGUAAAGCACUUUAAGUUGGGAGGAAGGGCAGUAAGUUAAUACCUUGCUGUUUUGACGUUACCAACAGAAUAAGCACCGGCUAACCUCGUG
This 484-nucleotide ribosomal RNA is filed under the name uncultured bacterium. Its description in RNAcentral is "partial 16S ribosomal RNA". It matches the Rfam family "Bacterial small subunit ribosomal RNA", at positions 30 to 507 of the family's 1533-position model. The record is from RNAcentral.